AAACAGGUCUAAUUUUUUAAAAGUAUUUUUGCUGUUAACGUUGGAUCUUGGUAUAAAUGUCCAGAGACAGACCACUGAAGAUAUUAGGCGCUGAAAAUCCCCACCUAAUCAAUCAGACCAGUGGAACUAACAGAUAACUACUUCUCUGACUUCAAGAAACUGAGACCUGGAGAAGUUGUGGUGCUGCUACCUGAUGGAGUAAAGGUUGAAACACCAGUCAGCCUUUUAAUCCUGUGUUAUUUUUUUUUUCCUGAUCCACAUUUCAUUUGUGGUUGUCAUCCUAUUAUAAAAGUUGAAUCCUCAGGCCGGGCGCGGUGGCUCACGCCUGUAAUCCCAGCACUUUGGGAGGCCGAGGCGGGCGGAUCACGAGGUCAGGAGAUCGAGACCAUCCUGGCUAACAAGGUGAAACCCCAUCUCCACUAAAAAUACAAAAAAAUUAGCUGGGCGUGGUGGCGGGCGCCUGUAGUCCCAGCUACUCGGGAGGCUGAGGCGAGAGAAUGGCGUGAACCCGGGCCCGGAGCUUGCAAUGAGCCGAGAUUGCGCCACUGCCUCCAACCUGGGUGACAGAGCGAGACUCUGUUUCAAAAAAAAAAAAAAGUUGAAUCCUCAAGAGCAUUUUCUAUUACAAUUCACCCCACGUACCAUUUGGAAACGUUUAGAGUCUGCCAUUCACAUUAGACAUUCAGACAUGAAUCUUUUUUUUCCAUUAUCAUCAAACAUUUUUCUUAGACACUUGAUAUGCAAAGAACUACACCCUACCUUCAGGAGGCUAAUAGUCAUGUUGAGAAGGCAAGACCUAUAAAGACAAUUAGUACAACUCUAACUGCCAUAUGAAGUCGUCGUUAACAGAUGUUAAAUGUUCAUUCAUUCCACAAACAGUACCAUGUGCCAUCACGUACCUUAACCCCCUGGUCAUAUAAGAUUCCUUCAGAAACCUUGCUGUCUAUUGUCUGAAGGAAGGUAUAAGCAAAUAGCAUAAUGUGUUUAUUUAACAAAUAUAUAUGAUGAAUUCAUCCUCACUCCAGGCACUAAGAAUAUACAAAGACAUGGUGACUGUUCUUAAAGAGCCUACUAUCUAGCUAGGCCUUAAAGGAGACUAAUAUAGGAAUAAUUAGUUUUGUAUAGACUUUCAUGUACUUUUCACAAACCUUAACUCAUGGUUACAAUAACCUCAUAGGCAUUGUUAUCCUUAUUUUACAAGGGCUAAGAUUAGAGACAAAAGUUGUUAAAUUAUUUAGUAAAGGUUAGACAGGUAAGCUGAGAUUUGAAGUCAAGUACUUUGCAGGAUUAACUGAAAUCAAGGAGGGGAUGCAUUCUAGUCAGAAGAGCAGAAGCAAAGCUAAAAGGUGCUCGCUUCAGCAGCACGUAUACUGAAAAUUAGAACGAUGCAGAGAAGUUAGCAUGACCCCUGUGCAGUGAUGACACACAAAUUUGUGAAAAAAAAAAAAAAAAAGCUAAAA
This is a long non-coding RNA of Pan troglodytes (chimpanzee), 1460 nucleotides long. RefSeq lists it as uncharacterized. The transcript has 2 exons. Lineage: Eukaryota; Metazoa; Chordata; Mammalia; Primates; Hominidae. The record is from RefSeq and is a predicted model, not a curated record.